CCUACGGGAGGCAGCAGUAGGGAAUAUUGCUCAAUGGGGGAAACCCUGAAGCAGCAACGCCGCGUGGAGGAUGACGGUUUUCGGAUUGUAAACUCCUUUUGAUAGAGAAGUUAAUGACGGUAUCUAACGAAUAAGCACCGGCGAACUCCGUGCCAGCAGCCGCGGUAAUACGGAGGCUGCAAGCGUUACUCGGAAUCACUGGGCGUAAAGAGCGCGUAGGCGGGAUAGCAAGUCAGAUGUGAAAUCCUACGGCUUAACCAUAGAACUGCAUUUGACACUGUUAUUCUAGAGUAUGGGAGAGGUAGGUGGAAUUCGUGGUGUAGGGGUAAAAUGCGUAGAGAUCAAGAGGAAUACUGAUUGCGAAGGUGACCUGCUAGAACAUAACUGACGCUGAUGCGCGAAAGCGUGGGGAGCAAACAGGAUUAGAUACCCCUGUAGUC
This 440-nucleotide ribosomal RNA is filed under the name uncultured bacterium. RNAcentral's name for it is "partial 16S ribosomal RNA". It matches the Rfam family "Bacterial small subunit ribosomal RNA", at positions 338 to 795 of the family's 1533-position model. The record is from RNAcentral.